GAGGAAUGAGUCCCCCGUUCUCACCCCGGGGAGCGGUUGCCUCGUGAGUCCAAGGAGAAUCCGCCCUUUCGUUUUGCGCAGGUGGAGAUCUCGCGGGCCCAGUUCGGAGUCCUGCAAACUGUGGAGGAGAUGCCUCUGUCCCGUCGGUCUGGGGACAGCCCAGCUCCCCGGAUCCCGGGCUGGAGAGACGCGUCGCGGCCCCGGGGCCUGGUGGCACGAGCAGGAAGGAGGACCCGGCGGCGGGCUCUGCCUGGGCUUGCCUGGGCUUGUUCCGAGCCGGGCUGCUUCUCGGUGACCACGCAGAUCGGGGGCAUUUGGAGAUUUUGCGGGAGUCCUGCAGCCAAGCUCCGGGGCAGGAGAGGCCUGGAAGCCUGCACUACCUGCUCGCCCCGUCCCAGCAUGCACCCAG
Molecule: long non-coding RNA, 409 nt
Filed under: Pan troglodytes (chimpanzee)
Lineage: Eukaryota; Metazoa; Chordata; Mammalia; Primates; Hominidae
Description: lincRNA
Source: RNAcentral